AAAUUACUAAUAAAAAAUCCAAAAGAGGACGUGAUAUUUUAUGUUUUAAUGAUUUAGAAUAUACCAUCCAUAGAGUAAUAAAUGCCACAUCGUAUUACAGGUGUAGACAAAGGAGUUGCUUAGGACGGGGUAUUUUACAAUCAGGUAGGUUCACAGAGAUGCAGGAUCAUACCAUAGAACAGUGUAAAUCACAUAUUGGCAAUAUGUUUACUCCAUGUCAACCCUUAGUAACACAGAACAUGCAACCUGUUAAUGCCAUAUCAAGCAAUAUAUGUGCCCCAUCUCAACUCUCUGUAGCAAACUACUAUAACUAGCAAUAUGUUUACUCCAUG
Long non-coding RNA from Gordionus sp. m RMFG-2023, 332 nucleotides. RefSeq lists it as uncharacterized. NCBI's taxonomy places the organism in Eukaryota, Metazoa, Nematomorpha, Gordioida, Chordodea, Parachordodidae. The record is from RefSeq and is a predicted model, not a curated record. The transcript is spliced from 4 exons.